RNAcentral lists this ribosomal RNA (253 nucleotides) under uncultured bacterium. RNAcentral's name for it is "partial 16S ribosomal RNA". It matches the Rfam family "Bacterial small subunit ribosomal RNA", at positions 524 to 776 of the family's 1533-position model. The record is from RNAcentral.
UACGUAGGGACCGAGCGUUGUUCGGAUUCAUUGGGCGUAAAGGGUGCGUAGGCGGCGCGGUAAGUCGAGUGUGAAAUCUCGGAGCUUAACUCCGAAACUGCAUUCGAUACUGCCGUGCUUGAGGACUGGAGAGGAGACUGGAAUUUACGGUGUAGCGGUGAAAUGCGUAGAUAUCGUAAGGAAGACCAGUGGCGAAGGCGGGUCUCUGGACAGUUCCUGACGCUGAGGCACGAAGGUCAGGGGAGCAAACGGG